RNAcentral lists this ribosomal RNA (468 nucleotides) under uncultured bacterium. RNAcentral describes it as "partial 16S ribosomal RNA". It matches the Rfam family "Bacterial small subunit ribosomal RNA", at positions 28 to 507 of the family's 1533-position model. The record is from RNAcentral.
GACGAACGCUGGCGGCGUGCUUAACACAUGCAAGUCGAACGGAAAGGCCCUGCUUUUGUGGGGUGCUCGAGUGGCGAACGGGUGAGUAACACGUGAGUAACCUGCCCUUGACUUUGGGAUAACGUCAGGAAACUGGGGCUAAUACCGGAUAGGAGCUCCUGCUGCAUGGUGGGGGUUGGAAAGUUUCGGCGGUUGGGGAUGGACUCGCGGCUUAUCAGCUUGUUGGUGGGGUAGUGGCUUACCAAGGCUUUGACGGGUAGCCGGCCUGAGAGGGUGACCGGCCACAUUGGGACUGAGAUGCGGCCCAGACUCCUACGGGACGCAGCAGUGGGGAAGAUUGCACAAGGGGCGGAAGCCUGAUGCAGCAACGCCGCGUGCGGGAUGACGGCCUUCGGGUUGGAACCCGCUUUCGCCUGUGACGAAGCGUGAGUGACGGUAAUGGGUAAAGAAGCACCGGCUAACUACGUG